CAGGGGGCGCUGUGCGGGCGGGCUCGGUACUGCCCGCUCGUCUCUGUAUAACCGAGCCCGGGAGGCGGGUUCGUGCGCACAGGCGGGCGCGCUGUCUCUAUAAAGCAGUAUCUCUUGCAAAGCGUCAGAUACUUUAGUUUUACGGCAUUCUAGCAUCACGUUUUUGACCGCUUAAGGGAAGCGAAGGGUUAGAACGGAGUCAUUUACAGUCAAGUAUUAUUCUCUUAUUUUUACUUUAAAUGGAACUUGACUUUCUUCUUUCUUUCAGAAACACUUUUGACUUCCUUGUGUGAGGUGCAAGUCCUUUUCAUGAUACGGGUUCAUAACCUCCUCUUCAGCUAAGAUCAGCAAAGAACAGCUGAUAUAAAUAAAUAAAUACUCUUCUAUCAGAGCUCUAGGUAAACUAAGUAGAAAUCAAUCGCUUCCUUUCCUUUUUUUGGUGCUUAAGAACUUGAUUCUGGGAGGUCACUAAUGAUACGGUAGAGUAUAUUUAGACAUUUAAAAAUAUUGGGUAUUGUACCAUGCCAAAUCCCUUGUGUGCUACAGUGUUUUGACAAUCUCUUUUAGGAGAGUUUGAUGUAGUACCUAGAAAAAGUACCUAGUGAUUCUUUAUAUCCAUUUCAUUUUCUUAAGUCCUACAUAUAUCUCCAAAAGAUCCUAUAUACCAUUCAGAAAACUGUUACCACAUUUAUAGAAGCAGAUGUAGAGAUACUAAUCUUGAGAAAUUCUGGUUUGUGUAUUCCAGGUUGCAAAGGGAUAUGAUCUUUUGUGUCUGAGCUUUCCCCUGUCUUUCCAUUCUGUUUCUGUUUUGCUUCAUUUUGGGGCAGUCUGUUAUUCAAUUGCCAUGUCAAGCCACGGAGGGCGAGAAAGGUUUCCAUCGGUCUGUAGGUGUUGAGCUUUCCUCAGGAAGCAGCCCAGAUGCUUUCUGUCUGUAUAUGACAGGCUUCCCUUUUCACGCUGAAGUCCAGUCUGACACCUCGGUUUUGGUCUCUGACAGGAGGAGCAGGCUGCUGUCAUUGCAAAUGAGAUGGCCGAGUGAUCCUGCGCUGUUCAUCUUUCUGCAAGAGACAACUCCAGCUGGGACUUUUAGCUUUACUGUGCUCAUCUGUGGCAGCUUCGGAUUGAACUAUGAAAUCCGUUUACAGCCCACUUAACAAACAGUGAUGUUUACAUCUGGGUAUCAAAGCAAGCUGUUUGCUGGAGUUCAAAGGCAGCUUUACAAGCACUAAAUCUGAUAGGUGAGGAAAACGUCCCCUGCUUCCUUCAGGUGCUUUGUAUGUGUGUGUCUUCAGGGACAGAAUUAAGCAGGAAGGGUUAUCUUCCCUGGCUUAGCUCUGACUUAACAGUCCUUGGUCAACAAUAUGCUUCCUGGGUGGGUUCUGCCAUUGUCAGAACUAUAUGCCUUGUAUAUAGAUCUAUAUGCCUUGUCAGAUCUAUAUGCCUUGUUGUAUGCAAGGGCAUUAGUCAGAGGGGUCUCCUCUUGCAGACAGGGAAGAGAAAUAAGUGCUCCCAGGGCCUUCCCCAGCUGCCCAAAGGCAGGUAUUGACUAGCUGCUAAUUAAAAAGUGGGUCUGAGGUGACUUGUGCCACUGCAGGCAAGUGCUGGAACGAACCACUUUGGGCUUCUUUUCCCCCCCAGCACAUAGGGGUAAGAGAUCUUCCUGAAAGAGGGUGCGGUGGCCGUGGCUGGGAGUGGCUCCAGUGCCUGAGAAAUGCCGUCUAAACAGAGAGUACAUAGGGUAAACAGAUCCAGCAGGAGGCAUGCUUUGGGGUGUGAGCACUGUGGAGAGGGGAGCAUAAAACAUCGUAUCUCAGCCAGGCAGUAUGCCGGUGCUUGGGUUUUUCUCUGAUUUGGGAGAAAGAUGAAAUCAGUGUCUGGGUUUUGAAAAGAAAAAGAUGUUGAAGAUAUUUUUUUAUUUGAGGAAGAGCUAUAAGGAGUUGAUGGAGAUUUUUGCUUCUGCCUCACGCUAGUCUCUAAGCUUUCCAGUGUGUUAGAAGCAGCUGCAUACUCCUGCUCUUGCCCACAGUGUCUACUCCCGAGUUACUAGUUCAAGCAAUUCAAAUUUAAUCCAUUGUGGGGGGAAGAUGGGGCAUUUGUUUGUACGCGUAGGCACGGUGUGUGAUAAUAACACAGUCAAAACUAGUGCACCAUCAACUGGAGAGAUUCCAUUAGCUUAUUAGCAGUCAUUAGGUGUUGCGAUGAGAUAAGCUUUCUCUAUUGCAGACUUCUUACAGAGCAAAACCACCAGCUUUGUGUUUGCAGGGAAGAACUUCUGCUUCCUGUGGUACGAUGCCUCCAAAGGGGUCAUCUAAGCUGGAAACAUGCCAUUUAGUAUGAGAGUGUGAGAUACAUACGAAUGCAUAGGUGUGCAUUGUUUGUGACUGGGGGAAGGAGACAUCUCAGUGUUGGGAUACCCAGCCUGACCUGUGGAUGCUGGCCUUGGUUUAGCUGAUCCAGCUGUAUCACACCCUUCCAAAGAAGGGUGAGGCAGGGACAUGAAACAUGUUAGCAAAGCCGCACAAGAAGUGCUGAACUUUUCUGGAGGUAUCACCCCAAAACCUGGCUUCAUCUCAGAAAACAAGCUUUGGCUGGGAGCUUUCACUACAAUGACUCAUUGUUUUGAAGUGCUUCAUUUAUGAAGACCCCCAGCAAACACCAGCUUUCAGGAACAGGCCGUUCUUAAGAAAAGCUGCCUGAGACAUGGAGGUAUGUCUGGUAAGGAAGGUGCUUGCAGAUCUGUCAUUUGCAAGAAAAUGUUCAGGAUUAUGACAGGACAAGCUGUUAAAAAAUGUCCUCGAUUCCACAGGACAGAUGUCUGAGAAGCAGGGGAUAGGUCAGCUUUUUCCUUCAGCAAAUAUUUUCCAUGAUGGUCCGCAGUUUAAAUGUGAGCCUUCACAAAUGGAGCUGUAAAGGACAGAUGACAGGCUGUGUAUCGGAGCUGUGGUGCAGAAGAGGGGGUGGCAGGGUUCAUCUGCUGCAUGUAACGUGCUCUGUGGACAAGCUACCAGAUCUGUGGCUGAACUGGAGGUCUGCAGACAAGAGGCUGAGGGUAAUGACCCACAGAGGACCAGAGUUUGGAAACAGAAAGAGACUCUCUGGAGCCAGGGAUUCGUACUACUCAAAAUCACGAUGACCCUAGUACUGGUUUUCAUUGCUCAUGUGAGUCCUUUUGGAUUGCGCUCAUUCUGCAAGCUAGACCAGCAUCACAGUGACCCUCGAACGUGAGCUCCCUCAGGCAGAUGUGCUAGGCCAACGUGCGGGCUCCUAUGACUGCAAGUAAAUUGUAACCAGCAAUGAAUUAAGCUUAUUAAUAUGACAGUAUCUCCGUAAGCAAACAGCGGUUGCUUGUGCCCCGCUGUCUGCUUGUGGCUAGAAACAUGCAGCAAACAGAGCACUGAGGCAGGUUUUCAGUGGGCUGGGUUUAUUUUCCCCACUCAGGUCCCCUGCAUGGGCAUACUGUGUGCACAGCCUCUCCCUGAAGCGUACAUCUCUCUUUGAGAGCGGGACGGGGGGGAUUUUAAGCCUUCAAACAAGCUGAAUGUGGAAACGAUAUAGAUUGGAACCAGGCACUAUGUGUGAGUAAGAGCUUCCCACGCAUCCUUACAAAUACCCCUCAGCUCCAACACUGUCAGUCCCUCUGUUUCCACCAUGAGCAAUUUCCUAGCUCUGCUGAUACCCCACAGCUGGAGUGGAGGCACAGGCAGUGUGCUGUGGUGUGAUGCAAGUGGAAGUUGUCUUCAUUUUUAAGACACGGUGGUAAAUGUUUUCAUUUCUCACUUUGCUUAGGCAUAAGAUCCUGCAGUAGGAGCAAGUCAUGUAUUACAUUUCUGAAGUAAAUGGAAAGGGUUUUGAGAAUGUAUUGAAAGCAUUUUUCUAAUUGUUCUGCUGAGACACUGUUUGUCCUUUUUUUUUUUUUUUUUUUUUUUCAUUGCCCUCUCCAAGACUGAAAACAGAAAACAUAGUUAGUGUUGAAAGAAGUGUGAAGGAUAAAUGUGGAAGGGACAUUUCCCCAUAAGGAUUAAUCUGUCUGCAUGGUGUUUAUGAGCAUGACCUGUUAGUACACUUGGGCUGCAGCCAUAUCUCCAUACAUCUCCCUCAGUAAUGCAGCUGCUGACUGCCUCAAGCACUGACAUUUACAGAGCGUGUAUCAUCCAGUUAUUGCUUCACAUCCCUCCAGACAGUCUUGAUCAUCAGCUAAUUAAAGUCUUUUGCUGCUUCUGCACUCUUCCUUGGAGCUUCUGUUUUGCGAACACAGCUUCCCAUUGGUGAUGUGUUCAUUAUGUCUCCAAAUUUUACUUUGCAGCAUGACCAUGACUUAGUUUAUGAGUAAACUGAGUAUCAGAGGCGUGGAAAGCUGCUCAGUGGAAAGGGUGGCUCACCCCAUGGUGCUGUGCACCCUGACACUGUCUAGGGCCCACUUAAAGUGAGCUGCCCCAAGUUUUAGUGUUGGGCUGUUUUCAACCUGGCUCUGGAAGUAGGCAGCCUGUUGCUCUGCUUCCUUCAGCACAAGUAACCUCAGUGCAUCUUUGGAUUUGCUUGUCUGGGCACAUGCCCUACUAUCAAUUGUCGUGCAAGAUCUCAGAAAUGCUUCUGGAGCCUAGAAAAAUACAGAAAUAUGGAAAUAUAACUGUGUUGACAGAUCAGCCUCCCAAAGACAGUUUAGCAAAGCCCCAGCCAGACGAUUUCUUGUUAGCUAGCUGUUCUGCUAGCACAUUACCUCUGGCGUGGAAAAAUGUAAUCGGUUGUAAUCCAAGCUACAGCAGGCAUCAUGCUUAACACUUCUGAUGCUUAUUGCAUUCAAAAAAGUGUUCCCAGACCAUAAAUGUGGUGGUAUGAUAAUUUGCUGAUGAGUACUAGUAUAUUUAUGUGAAGGAAUAAACGUAUGGUUGUUGGAGUGAAUCUGUGAGAGAUGUCAGGAAAAAGAUGGAAAGGAAGGAAGAAAGGAGCAUCCUUUUUCAGUCAGAUUCACUGGGAAGCUUGGAGAAACAGAGCUGCACAAAAUUAAAUCUGACUCCCCCUUUGCAAAUGCCUGUCUUGAGCGUGAUGCCCAUGGCAGUGCCAUCUCUUGGUGUAGAUAGAGAUGAGGUGGGCACAGAACAGGUGAGGGAGAAGGAGGGCUCAGUAAUGAUCUAAGCGAAGGUGUGGGGAGGAAGAGAGCCAGUGCACGAGCACUGGGUGCAGCAGGCAGGGUUGUUCUGGUAGAUAAACAUUAGGAACUUGUAUUAUAACCCAAGAGCUCCUUGGUAUUUUCAAAGCAAUGGGGGUUACAAACCGUAACCUUGCUGUUACAGUUGUUUGAGCAUAUCGUAAGGCAAGUAUUACUUGUUAGCAUUGUAUGUUUUGAGCAAAAACAGUACAAGAAAUGAGUAUGAGCCUGAAUUUACUGCAAUGUACAUAGAGGAUUUUUUUAUUAUUAUUAUUUUUAGAAACAGCCAAUGCGUUACAUGUUAUUCAGCACAGGCAAAGACUCUGACACUGCUAGCCAAAAUGGUCAAUGGGAAGAUGAACUCAGAGGCUACAGGAGCAGCUACCUUUAGCAAAGGUCCUUUCCAUGAGACAGCUUCUUUUCCACAGAAGUUCUGACAUUAUUGAUGGUGGACAAUGCCGUUUUCUGGGUUCACAGAAGCAUUGCUGAAAUUACAGACUCACCGAUAAAGCAGGAGCUGCCAAGUGGUUCGUGACAGGUUUAUUUAGUCCAACAAGCAAAUAGCCAGAGGUGACACAGAACAUGGACAUUUCUUGUUUGGUAUUUCAUUCAAAUACGGUGUUUGGAAUUAGAGCCUUUUUUCCAAUCUGAACCGUUGACCAUUUUGGCUAGUGAGCUACUGAUCCCAUUGAUAGAGCCUUCUGAACAUUGCCUGUGAGUAAAAUGCAGCAUUGAGAAGUUAAUUUAAAAUUAAGAAGAGAGAUAUUAUUAAAGCACAUUAAAAUAUAGGAGAAAACAACACUUCAAGGACAACAGCGGAAACAAAGAACACCAUCACUAUAGCAUCCCCAUGCUGCUGGUUCCAUAUCACUCCAAGAAAUUUCACACCAACCUUUUGACGCCCUUUAAUGGGGACAAAGAAAUGCUUUUCUGGAAUUUCUUUAAGCAAUUUAAUACCCGAGGUGAAACCAAGACAACCUAUUCUGCAGUCUUUUAUACCAAAUCCAGAUAAAACCCCAAGCAAGCAGUUCCACAGAGCUGUAGAUCAUAGGACUGAAGCUGCCCUGGAUGGAUUUUUUCCAAACUUUCACCCAUUGCUCCGUUUUUGUGUCAACAAUAGAGUUGAACAGAUAAUGAGUUCUUUUGGAAACACUACCCUGUAAAAACAGGUCAUUGCUGAACUGUUGUUAAUGAUGAACCAGGAAUUGGUUCAAACUAUCUCACCCUCUCUUUUCAAACAGCUCUUGUUCUUCCUAUCAGCACCUAUCGCCACAAACAACCAUAGUUUGUCUCUUUCUAACUGCUAGCGGUUUUCUAUGUUGGUAAGUGUCUGGCAUCUUCUAAUUAGGGCUGUUUCUGCCCACUGUCCUUUUGAAUCCUAAAGGAAAAAGAUGUGAAGCUUUAUCAGUGACUUUUAUGUGGAAGAAGUAUUUAAAGAAGUCAGACACUAUGGCAAGGAAGCCAGUUGUUCUUAUCAUGCACAAUUUCUUUUCCCCAACCGAGCAACAUUUUUGUUUGUUCAAAGCAGGAUUUGUUUGUUUCAGUAAAUACCUGUCACAUAGCAACAGAAAUAUUACUAAAUAAUAAUACAUAUAAUGUUAAGCUCCUGGGUCUAGAAGCUUUUAAUGAAAAAAAAAACACGUUCCUGAUAAAAAAUAAUAAAUAAUGUCACCUUUUCUUUUUACAUUAAAAAUAUCUGUACAUGAUUACACAAUACAACUAAGUACAACUUUAUUUUCUAGGCUCGGGGUGGCAUCUCUGGGUUAGAUCUUCAUCUAAAAGAGUAGAGCCUCAUAGUCUUGAUCCUGCAUAUUUCCCACUUUAUGAAAAUCAUUUUCCCAAAGUUGCGAAGUCUGUAGCCUUGCUUAUCCUUUCCAUGCAAUGUGGAAGCAGCUCACAAGGAACACAGCAACAUCUACAUGCAGGAAGCAGCGAAGGACUGAGAUCUUUGCAAACAGAGAUGCGCAUAUGGUGAUAAUUGGAAGUCUCGGAACUUCUUGUCUCAACUGGAAGAGAACAGAAACAAAUAGAAAAAUAAAGAUGGAAAAUGUAAGUAGAAGUCUGUCUUCCUAAUGUAGCUAGAAAAGUUUUUUUAGAUGGUAUAUUUUUCAAGAUGGCACUUAGUGAUCUAUAACAGACUGACUCUGUCUUUUAGCCAACCUUUCUUCUUGGUAAGAAUGCCCGAAGUUUGCUCAGAUGACAACGGCACUGGCAGCUUGCCUGGAGUUUGAGAGCCACGUCCCAUCCGUUGGCCUCCGAAUGGCAGAGGAUGGCCACUGUCUUUUAGCAGUUGGCCUGGUUUGAAGUGGUGCUUGCAGGGCCUUCUGCUAGCAGUGAAACGUCUCUGUAGCUCCCACUCCAGCUUGUCAGGCACUGUGUGCACCCCAUGAGUCUUCUACCAGUGAACUUGGCCAGGAAACACAAUAAAAGCAUUCACAAAGCAAGCUCUGCAGGGCAGGGUGAACCAGCAGCUCGUGCUGACCUCUCACCAGUAACUAAUCAAAAAGCAAACAUUUCCUCUUACUUUGCUAAAGACGACAGUGCUGUUUGUCUCCUGACAGCAUCUGGUCACUACUGGGCAGCAUCUUGCGCAGGUGAAGCAGGCUUUUAGUCUCACAUCAUGCUAGGGCUGAAGCCAGAGCUUGUAAUGUUUAAGAUCAUGAUUAUCACAGAACAGAGAGGUGGCUUGUACACAGGUGGCAGCUGGAAAGGAAUAAUAGAACUCCUUGCACUGGGUGGUCUGUAUCCGUGUUGUUUCCUUACAUUGACGGAAAUCAGCUCGCUCCUGGAGUAAGGCUCUGAUGCAGUCAUACAGUCCAGCUGUCCUUGCAGAUACAGGAAAGUCCUCAGCUCUUCUGCUCAUGUACCUUCCCAUGCCCCCACCAAUCUACACAUGUGCAGCUGGACAUUCAUUUGAAGUCAGUGCAAAAAGCAUCAUGACAAUGCAGAUGAAUGAGUUUCCAUAAAGUUCUGCUGUCCAUGAAUCCUUUGGGUAUCCUGACAGGCAUCUGUUCCUUCAGCUGGGCCACUCCUCUUCUAGGACCAUGACUAGAAGCAGGACUCUUGGGAUUCAGGGUCAUUGUGGAUGGGAAGCUUCUCAUGUUCCUGAUGAUGCCCAUUACGUAGAACAGUGUACCUAGGAAUGGAAAAACAUAAAGGAAGAUCUGGUAGCACCAGUUAAAAGGACAAGCUUAUGUAAAAUGAGUUCUUGAAAACACUGAAGUAUAUCUUAAGACAAUACAUCUUCCAAAUAUCCAGAUCCCACAUGAAGCAAAUGUGAAUCCCUACUUUUCUUCAUGACAGGAAACCAAAUCUUCAGUAUGAUGCGGUCAAGGCAGUCCCUGAAAACCAAGAACCUGUUGGUUUUCAUGUAUCUAAGGUGCAGCUGGUAACGAGAGGAAACCAGACCAAAGAACUAAGAAACACCGAUCAUCUGUGGGUGGACUAGGCUGAAGGCGCUUCAGCUAAUGUCUUUGAUGUGAGUGUUUAAAGAAUCAUUUGAGACUACCUUGGGACGUGAAUGCUGUGUAAGAUGAAACCAAGACCAACAUUUCAGCUGUAAGGAAUCACACAUUAUCUCUUACAUGUUCCUCAUCUUGCUGCCCAUCUCAACGUGACUUUCUGAACAUAACUGUUGGUUUAGUUUGCUAAUGACGUGCAGCUCUUCUUCCUAAGUGGAGCGCAGUGCUUAGUAGGAACCAGCAGAUCUGAGGUGAUAGCAAAAAUGUUGGCUAACUGGAAUAAAACUGAUAUAGCACAUCUUUCUAGAAUGUCACAUCUAAUCAUUCUUGCUUGCAAACCCCCUGAAGGGUACAGAGCAAGCCAGGUAUCUUCCCUUGGCAGUCCCUUUCAUUUAAACUAAAGCUGAACCACACCAUCCCUCGAGUCAGCCCAAAAGUAGGAAGCUGCAAAAAUAACUGUAAAAGCAUAUUUUUCCCCUAGUCCAAAUGCAUAUCAGGGAAAUCAGGUAUCUGAUUUCUUCUGAAUACUUUCUUCUGCUGAGUCUUUAGAGAUUAUAGCUAUAUUAUUUCUCUUAGUAACAAAUAUACAAGACAUACCUGAAAUAUCCACAUCCCAAUAAAGAUUAAAAGAAGAAAAAAGCCUAAGAAAAGAUCAGUUCUCCUGCUGUUAGCAGAGGGAAAAGAAGCACUAUCAGCCUCCAGAUUUGUUUGAAUAACCAUUAGAAAAAGGGUCAGGAACUCCACAUCGUCUACAUAUUCAAAAACUGAUACUAUGACAUCAAUUUACUUGGCAUUAUUAAUCUGGAUGCAUCUCUUUCUCCACUGAGUAUACUUGGGACUUAGGCUCCUAAUUAAGGUGCUUAUAAUGCCACUGAGAUGUCUGAAGUAGAUGAUCUGAAUAUCCUACAAAUGACGUGUCCGUUAGUUCCAGUAAAACUCAAAAUGAAAGCCAGGGUAUAAACUGUACUGCCUGUCUGAAUUUGCCGUGGUGAGUAUUCCUGGAAGAAUUUACCCUCUAGUGUACUAGAUGCUUGUUGUCAACAUGGUCAGGCUUGGUUGCCUUAAUACAGGUCACUCUACGUGCAGAUACAUGUAUCCAUCAAACACACCUCCUUCGUACUCCAUCACUUUAAAUAAUUAUUGUAAAUUUCAAAAAAUGUGAUCAUUCUUCCAACAAGAUACAGACUUGAUGUAAGAAACAAGAAAAGACAUUUUGCAUCUAACACUGAACAGGCACUCCGAUUAGAUGAUCAUGAAGCAUACAAGUCGUAACAGAAUUUUAAUUUUUUUAUACCAAGUCAGACAUGGCACAUGAUGUGAGGCGACCCACCAGCGAGACCUCCAGCGCAGCAGAGGCUCUGCUACAAAUGGUGACACAGAGGAUGAGAGCCAGGAGAGCCCCUGCGCUGCGGACGUGGCUGACACAGCGCAGAGCAGCUCAGGACUGGCUCGGAAGCACAACAGACAGGCACCCAAAGCUGACUUGGUACAGGAUAUCCAAAGAGCCAAACCUUGCUGCUGCUUCUUCUGCGGUAGUCAGAAAACAGUAGUGCAAGAUCAGCAAUUUAGCAGGUGAUGCCGUUUGUUACAAAGAUGCAUUAAGCUUUAAAGAGAAGUCAUUAAGGUGUCCCAGGGUCUCUUGUGGCACAAAGUGGCUGUCUGAAGCCUCUGGCAGUUACCUCAACACUUCAGCUGUUUACCCUGUGGGGAAAGAGGACCGGUAGGAGAGGAGGAAAGAGCAUUCACAUGCAGGGUGCCAAAGCUGCACUGCAGGGGUGAUGGCUUGCUCUGCUAGCGGCACAUCAUUCCUAAAAGUCUUACCAGCAUCUCCAGGAAACUGUUAAAGAAGUCCUCUGCUGGCAGGAUUUUUGUUACCAGGAUUGUUUUCACAUUUUUUUUUCCCUUUACAUGAAAGUUCAGAGCUACCUGUAACUUACAGGGCACCAAUUUAAUGUCAGAUAAAAGACACAAUUACAACAUCCCUGCUUUUUUUUCACACCGCCAUGUCUUAACUGAUCUGCUCUUUGAGCAUACAAUGAAUUUUUCAGGUAUCAGCAUCUACGGGAAGCAAGAUUAAGAGAGAAAGCACAGCUGCACCUGAAACUCAUUUUUUGCCUCACCUACAGGAGCACACACCUACCGUGCCUCGGCUGUCACCCAGCUCGGGAGUCAAACACUGCAGCAUUUCCCUUCCCAACCACAAGAAGAAAACAAGACUCGGACCCUGCAUGUGUGGGCUGAAUGUUUCAAGAGAAAUUUAUCAAGUAGGUUUGAGUAAUGAACACAUCUGAGGAAGCCAUAAUAUGUGAACAGGAAAAAAAUUUAAAAUAAUUAAAUGCAUUAAAUAAAUUAUCUGCAGCAAAUUAGUUGCUUAGCUUUCCUGCCCGUAAUGAGUUCCUUCCAUGGGAUUUGGACACGCUGUCACGUUAAGCUACCAAGCUCAGUUACAAAUGGCAUCCCAGGCUGCUCCUGCAGCUGGCUCCUCCCCAGACUGGGGACCAGUGAUACUGUCAGCUCACCUGACAGCUUCACUCGGAUCACCACCACCGCCACCCAGCAAUGAAGCCCAGCGAUGGAAAGGAAUUACCUCCUAUAAAGGGACCCUGCUGCAGGCUACUCACGUACUUGCCAAAUGGAACUUUAAUUGUGAUGAUGACCAAUUUGGAGAUAAUUGCUUCUGCAUCUCCUGCUGUUUCUGACAGUCCAGUGGGCUCUCUAAUUAACUGCUUGGAUUAGCUCUCAGCACAGCAGAGGGGAGCUGUGUAGCUUUAACCUCUGUAGGCCCACAAGUACAACAGGGAGCCGCAACAUUAUUCUGGGAAAUCGGCAAGAGCUGGGGAGGAGACACCAAGGGGAUGCAGUGGCUGUUUGUGAUCUUUCCGCUUUCGUUCUCCCACGCCAGAUUGUACAAUUUAUUAAGGAAGCAAAGCCAACAAAUUGUUGGGCUCUGGCCUCUGCAACCAUGAUGAAAAACAGUCACUAUUUGCAUGGAGCCUGAGGUCCCUGCUUACUUCUCUCCUGAUGAGCAAACCCCUAGCAUCCAGUUCUGUCCCCCAGGUUCGUACCUGUCUUGCUGAAAAGCAGAAAGCAAUGUAAUUUUGGGGCAGGGCUGCUGGGUCUGAACACAAAAGCUAACUGCAUCCAUUUCUGCGGCAGAACAUGACCCAGCAGGAGGGGAGGCAACAUCCUGAUGGUGUGUGUGCCACUCCUCUGUUGGAGCUCGCAGCCACCGAUCCAGUUUCCAGAAGGGAGCCUUUUCCUGGAGUUGAUGCCUGGGCUCCUUUGGACAGGGGGAACAGACGAGAAUUGGAAAGUAUCUUCCCAAAAAUGCCUUCUACCCAACGCUUCACGCUUGCAGUAUCUGUGUAACGCUGCCUAUACUGCUUACACAUACCUAUGGCUCCUCUGUACCAGCAGAAGCGCCUGGGCAGCUCAGCAGUUCUGCAGCUGUUUUACCUGUGAAUUACUCCCCUGGUUUUUAACCGCAGUCCUUGCUCAGAUCGCUCGUAUCCAUCCUUCUUCCCUAAGCUCCCUGCAAACUCCAGUUCAUCAGCCCACAGGCAGUUAAUCCUGGUGGCUGCUGCAAAGGGCAAGGGGCCCCUUACAGGUACAGAAGCUGCAAGGGCUUGGAUGACGGUGGUAGAGACUGCUCAUUAACAACAGACUGACAAAAUGAGAGCAAAGGCAGCCUUUCCCAGCUACAGCUGCAUCACUAAUGGGCUAAAGGACUUGUGGGGCAGCAUCUCCUGUGCUUCCCAGAGCCUCUGAACAAACAUGGGCCUUAGUGUUCCCUCAGCAGCUUCUGUCCCUUUAACCCUGGCAGGAGAAAUAAUGUUACCUAAAGGGUCACAAUCAUAGCAAAGAAAAAAUAAAAGAAAAUAAAUGCCCACGACUGCCCAAGCACGGGAAAGCUUUCAGCUGGGCUGGCACGGGGGAAGCCACAGCCAUCCCAAACCCGCCUCAGGUGCGCAGCUGUCUCUGCUCUCUGUUCAGCAAUCCCUUCCUCACACACCUGAUCACGUUAUUAAUUGCUUCCGUUUUUGAACUGACGGAAGGUGGUUCCUGUCACCCUGACAUUCUCUGGGACCAAGGUGAGGCUUUGCAGCUCUCGCUGGGAAGGGUUUGCUUUUGGGGGGGCUGGUACUGGAGCUGCUAACUCUGCUCCCCAGGACUUUUGCCACCUAAAUCCACUCCCCCUCUGCCUGGAAAAAGAAGGACACAUUGUCACUGGGUAGCGAAGAACUUUGCACACGCAUUCAGAUGCCAAGAGGUCAAUGUUGCUGCAGAAGCAGUUGUUGAUGGCCGGCAUGCCAAAUGAAACAUGUAGAAUAUAUUUCUUCCUUCACACACAACUAGAAACAUCCUCCAGGAUCCUGGAAAAUGUCUCAGUAAUAAGCUUUUGCACAGCCAAUUCGCAUCUUUGAA
Molecule: long non-coding RNA, 13032 nt
Organism: Falco peregrinus (peregrine falcon)
Lineage: Eukaryota; Metazoa; Chordata; Aves; Falconiformes; Falconidae
Exons: 3
Source: RefSeq, a predicted model, not a curated record